GCCAGCAGCCGCGGUAACACCGGCGGCCCGAGUGGUGAUCGUGAUUAUUGGGUCUAAAGGGUCCGUAGCCGGUUUGGUCAGUCCUCCGGGAAAUCUGAUAGCUCAACUAUUAGGCUUUCGGGGGAUACUGCCAGACUUGGAACCGGGAGAGGUAAGAGGUACUACAGGGGUAGGAGUGAAAUCUUGUAAUCCCUGUGGGACCACCUGUGGCGAAGGCGUCUUACCAGAACGGGUUCGACGGUGAGGGACGAAAGCUGGGGGGCACGAACCGGAUUAGAUACCCGGGUAGUCCCAGCCGUAAACGAUGCUCGCUAGGUGUCAGGCAUGGCGCGACCGUGUCUGGUGCCGCAGGGAAGCCGUGAAGCGAGCCACCUGGGAAGUACGGCCGCAAGGCUGAAACUUAAAGGAAUUGGCGGGGGAGCACAACAACGGGUGGAGCCCUGCGGUUUAAUUGGACUCAACGCCGGACAACUCACCGGGGGCGACAGCAAUAUGUAGGCCAAGCUGAAGACUUUGCCUGAAUCGCUGAGAAGAGGUGCAUGG
RNAcentral lists this ribosomal RNA (543 nucleotides) under uncultured archaeon. RNAcentral's name for it is "bacterial SSU rRNA". It matches the Rfam family "Archaeal small subunit ribosomal RNA", at positions 457 to 997 of the family's 1478-position model. The record is from RNAcentral.